This 292-nucleotide ribosomal RNA is filed under the name uncultured soil bacterium. RNAcentral's name for it is "partial 16S ribosomal RNA". It matches the Rfam family "Bacterial small subunit ribosomal RNA", at positions 26 to 343 of the family's 1533-position model. The record is from RNAcentral.
AGAACGAACGCUGGCGGCAUGCCUAACACAUGCAAGUCGAACGAGACCUUCGGGUCUAGUGGCGCACGGGUGCGUAACGCGUGGGAAUCUGCCCUUGGGUUCGGGAUAACAGUUGGAAACGACUGCUAAUACCGGAUAAUGACUUCGGUCCAAAGUAUUUAUUGCCAGGGAUGAGCCCGCGUAGGAUUAGCUUAGUUGGUGAGGUAAGGCUACACCGAAGGCGACGUAUCCUUAGCUGUCUGAGAGAUGAUCAGCCACACGUGGACUAGGACGACGACCCGGUACCCAGACC